CUGAAAAUAGUUUAUAAAAAUAUUAGUUUUGGAGACUAAAGCAGUAGGUAUCUACUUUUCAGA
This 63-nucleotide transfer RNA is filed under the name Neomysis awatschensis. RNAcentral's name for it is "tRNA-Pro". The record is from RNAcentral. Lineage: Eukaryota; Metazoa; Arthropoda; Malacostraca; Mysida; Mysidae.